This 441-nucleotide ribosomal RNA is filed under the name uncultured bacterium. Its description in RNAcentral is "bacterial SSU rRNA". It matches the Rfam family "Bacterial small subunit ribosomal RNA", at positions 958 to 1398 of the family's 1533-position model. The record is from RNAcentral.
AACGCGAAGAACCUUACCUGGGCUCGAAAUGCAGUGGACCGGGGUGGAAACAUCCCUUCCCCUUAAAAGGCUGCUGCAUAGGUGCUGCAUGGCUGUCGUCAGCUCGUGUCGUGAGAUGUUGGGUUAAGUCCCGCAACGAGCGCAACCCUCAUUCUUAGUUGCUCGCCCGCAAGGGAAGCACCCUAAGAAAACCGCCUCGGAUAACGGGGAGGAAGGUGGGGAUGACGUCAAGUCCUCAUGGCCUUUAUGCCCAGGGCUACACACGUGCUACAAUGGCCGGUACAAAGCGUCGCCAACCCGCAAGGGGGAGCCAAUCGCAAAAAACCGGUCUCAGUUCGGAUUGCAGUCUGCAACUCGACUGCAUGAAGCUGGAAUCGCUAGUAAUCGCGUAUCAGAACGACGCGGUGAAUACGUUCCCGGGCCUUGUACACACCGGUACUA